CACAGCCCAACCUGGUGAUAAUGAAUACUUCAAAUAUGCUUGUCCCAAGAGAGUGUCAGGAAUAUUCUAGAUCGCAUUCAGCCUCAGCCAUCUUAGCCUCAUGUACAGCUCAUCUGUGCAAUGCUAGAAGAGGUCUUGAAUAUUCAAGCCUGCAGUAAUUUUUAAGGGAGUUUUUGCAUUUCCCUUGUACUUAUAAGUGUUUGGUCUUUCCCCAAAAUUCUAUUACAGGUUGGAGAUCGAUUUGGGGUAUUGGAAUUUUGGUAGUAGAAGAAGGACACUUUAGGACAGCCUGGGUUAAGUCUAGAUAUUAAUGCCAAAUUGCACAUUAGUUAGGGGCUUAUGAUCCUGAAUAGUUUAACAUAUGAUUAAGAAGUGGCUCCGUUGAUAACACCACACACCUGGAUUCCAAGAGAAAACUCCAAUACAACACAGUCCUGAAUUUGUGAUUCCAAGAGAAAACUCCAAUACAACACAGUCCUGACUCUUCAAGCAGCUAGACUUCAUGUACCAGGAGACAGGUUACAGUUUUUUCCUAACUUUCUUUCCCUUCUUUCUCUUGUUUGGUGUGUAGUUUCUUUGUAUGUAACACAUGCAGAGGCCAGGAAGGGCAGGAUUGUGGAAAGUCAGUUCAGGCUAGAAGUGUGACUCAUCCAUAGGAGAAUAUGAGGAGGAGGAAGUUGGGUCUAAUACCUUAAAACAAUCCUUUACCCUGUGCUCUGUUCCCCAAGCCUGUUCCUGACACAGGAGUUACAAUCUGAUGAGCAGGGCCUUCAGGUGCAAUGGGGGAGUUUGCUCUAUCUGGCUCACUCUGUGCCCUCACCUGGCCGGAUACCCUCCUGCCCUUUUCUCCGUGAAAUAAUGCUCUAGAGACCUGAUCAGAGAGGUAAAUACACUCAGGUACAAAGGACUUCCAAGCUUUCCUGUACAACCCAUCCCAGAGGGAAGUGCUUCUUAGUGCUAUUCCUCAAGCUAAAGGAAUCAACCUUUAAAUCCACAAGUUGGGGUCUAUAGUUAGCAAGUUCUCUCAGGUAAAUAUUGAGCAGGGAGGUUCCCAUAAAUCCAUGAAAGCAGGCUGCAUAGCUGCCAGCCUUUUCUGCUUAUGCCUGAGGUCAGUCUUGGACAUAAUAAGCACCAGGAUAAUCUAGCAUGAAGGCAAGUCCCAGGACACCCUUUCUGUAGGUUGGUUUUUCUAUUUAAGCAUUUUUCCCCCUUUUUCAAGGAAGACACUUGGGUUAUAAUAUAUUAAGUGGUUCAAAUACACGAACUCCAGGGGAAAAGGCCUCUCCAGCCAGCCUUCAACAAACAGAACAGUUGGUCUCCUUGCUUCUUGACUCAGCUUCCCUUUUCUUUUGUUCGCCUCGGAGAGGCUGAUAGAGCUUGUUCAUACAACUUACUUAAGUAAGUCUAUCCAGGCAAAGCUGUGCACAGAAAGGAAAGGGAAAGGAGGAC
RNAcentral lists this long non-coding RNA (1449 nucleotides) under Marmota monax (woodchuck). Lineage: Eukaryota; Metazoa; Chordata; Mammalia; Rodentia; Sciuridae. The record is from RNAcentral.